RNAcentral lists this unclassified non-coding RNA (395 nucleotides) under soil metagenome. RNAcentral's name for it is "partial contains 5.8S ribosomal RNA, internal transcribed spacer 2, and large subunit ribosomal RNA". The stretch from base 1 to 120 matches the Rfam family "5.8S ribosomal RNA", at positions 35 to 154 of the family's 154-position model. The record is from RNAcentral.
GAUGAAGAACGUAGCGAAAUGCGAUAAGUAAUGUGAAUUGCAGAAUUCAGUGAUUCAUCGAAUCUUUGAACGCACCUUGCGCCUUUUGGUAUUCCGAAAGGCACACCUGUUUGAGCGUCAUGAAUACCUCAAUCUCCAUCUUUUCUUCGGAUUGAUGGGUGACUUGGAUGUUGAGCCCUGCUGGUAUGCUAUAUCAGCUGGCUUUAAACUUAUUAGCCGGCUCUGUACUGGAUCGGUUUGACUCGACGUGAUAAUAUUAUCGUUGAGGAUGCAUGUCUCAUGCAGCCGGAAAGUAUCAAAGCAGCUUCUAGCUUGCCUUUAGUGCACUUUUACAUUUUAGACCUCAGAUCAGGUGGGACUACCCGCUGAACUUAAGCAUAUCAAUAAGCGGAGGA